CGUACGAGAACUCCUUAGCUUGCUAGGGAUAGUAAAGUGGCGCACGGGUGAGUAACGCGUGGGUAAUUUACCUCUGAAUUGGGGAUAACCCGCCGAAAGGCGAGCUAAUACCUAAUAAUAUCUUAUGAACUUUGGGACAUGAGAUCAAAGAUGACCUCUUCGUGAAAGUUAUUGUUUGGAGAUGAGCCCGCGUACCAUUAGCUAGUUGGUAGGGUAAAGGCCUACCAAGGCAACGAUGGUUAGCUGGUCUGAGAGGAUGAUCAGCCACGCUGGAACUGACACACGGUCCAGACUCCUACGGGAGGCAGCAGUGAGGAAUAUUGCGCAAUGGGGGAAACCCUGACGCAGCAACGCCGCGUGAGUGAAGAAGGCUUUUGGGUCGUAAAGCUCUGUCAAGUGGGAAGAACCCAUGAUAUGAUAAUACCAUAUUAUGCUGACGGUACCACUAAAGGAAGCACCGGCUAACUCCGUGCCAGCAGCCGCGGUAAUACGGGGGGUGCAAGCGUUAUUCGGAAUCAUUGGGCGUAAAGGGCGCGUAGGCGGCCUGUUAAGUCAGAUGUGAAAGCCCGAGGCUUAACCUCGGAAGUGCAUUUGAAACUAACAGGCUUGAGUAUGGGAGAGGGAAGUGGA
Molecule: ribosomal RNA, 630 nt
Filed under: uncultured bacterium
Lineage: Bacteria
Description: bacterial SSU rRNA
Rfam family: Bacterial small subunit ribosomal RNA
Source: RNAcentral